CAUAAUACCCAAUCUUUGUGCUCGUGGAUUCUUAUCUAUUUCCAGGGUUGUAGAUUUUAAGUUGUUGGUUAGGUUCUUGAAGGGCCUUUGGUUAAUAUAUAUCUGAAAUUGUUGCCCUUAUUUUAGUGGAUGGGCGUGAAAACUAGACAAAUUUAAUUAACCCUUUCUAUGUCCAGCCUUGUAGGGGAAUACUUUUUCUUGGUCCUCCUGGUACGGGAAAAACUAUGCUCGCCAAAGCUAUAGCCACUGAAGCUGGUGCAAAUUUUCUAAACAUCUCAAUGUCUAGUACUGAUUCAAAGUGGUAUGGUGAUUCGGAACAAUAUGGAUGGCAAUCUUCUCGACAGCCAGGAAAAUCGCUCCCUGUGUUGUAUUCGUUGAUGAGGUUGACAGCACUUUGGGUCGAAGAAACGAUCAUGACUCCUGAAUCACUCGUAGGAUAAUAACUGAAUUUAUGGUGAAUUGGGACGGUUUGCGCACAAAGGAUGAGGAAAGGAUCCUAGUUCUUGCAGCCACAAACAGGCCUUUCGACCUUGAUGAAUCUGUUAUCAGAAGACUGCCACGCUGAUUCAUGGUAAAAUUUGCCUGAUCUUGCAAACAGAACUGAGAUCCUAAAAUUUUAUUGGCCGAGGAAGACUUGACUCCUGAUGUUGAUAUUGUUGCAAUUGCUAGUAUGACUGAUGGCUUCUCUGGUAGUGAUCUCAAGAACCUGUGCAUCGCUGCUGCAUAUUGUCCCGUGAGAGAGUUUUUAAGGAAGGAAAAGGGAAAGAGAUCUCUUGAACCAAUAGAGGGAGUGCUGAACUACGGCCUUUAAAUAGGAAGGACUUCAAUUAUG
Long non-coding RNA from Olea europaea var. sylvestris, 832 nucleotides. RefSeq lists it as uncharacterized. Lineage: Eukaryota; Viridiplantae; Streptophyta; Magnoliopsida; Lamiales; Oleaceae. The record is from RefSeq and is a predicted model, not a curated record. The transcript is spliced from 6 exons.